ACUAAAUGGUCUUCCUUCCUGGACCUUUUUCCCUGGGACUGCGGCGCAGCCUCCAGGAGUGAAGUUAUGCGGGGCUGCGUCGCUGGAGUUACCCGUGCGGCCUUUGG
Dipodomys ordii (Ord's kangaroo rat) is the source of this 107-nucleotide non-coding RNA. NCBI's taxonomy places the organism in Eukaryota, Metazoa, Chordata, Mammalia, Rodentia, Heteromyidae. The record is from Rfam.